Long non-coding RNA from Sander lucioperca (pikeperch), 2454 nucleotides. RefSeq lists it as uncharacterized. The transcript has 2 exons. The record is from RefSeq and is a predicted model, not a curated record. Lineage: Eukaryota; Metazoa; Chordata; Actinopteri; Perciformes; Percidae.
UUAAUGCUACCCGUUAUGAACAAAAAGCUAAUUCCAUGUUUUAGAGCUCCCCGCAGUGUAAAACGCCACCAUAAAAUCACAACCCACUCUUUGUAGGAAGACUACAGCAUAGCUGAAUGUCAGCAGAGAGGGCUACCAGGUGUGAAUGGGCAGAUCAUAAAGAAUGGCACUUACCAACUACAAACACCACCUUAAAAUUACACUACAAUCUAUGCAGGAAUGUCAUUCACAAAAAAUUACAUUCAGUCAUCUUUGCAUUAAUAGCAUAGAAAUAAUGUACAUACUUUAAAAAGAAGAAAAACUAAGGGUCUGUCCCAAUCCAUCUAUAAAUUCAGGACUCUCUGUUGUUCCAGCAGCACUCUGGCUGGCAGCAUUCCGGCUGUCCGACACGCAUGCGCAAAAGAGCACACUGGCGUACGGAAGUAAACAUGGAGGCUACUAACGUCAGACGCAGCAGGCUGGCUUAUGGGAGUAAUCAUGGAGACCGCAGCGCAUAAAGUUAGCUUCACUACUUCCAUGUCUACCCUUCACAAUAAAAGUCCAACUUAAAUUUGCUCAGAGCAUUUUCCUAAGAGGCAACUCAAUAAAAUAGCUCACUACGCUAACGUCAUUUUUGCAAACACUAGAUAUCAAACAAAAAGCCAGUCCAGGUUCUGUAAGUGUACUAACUUAUAACACUUAACACAUUACCGCUGCCAAAAUACCUGUGCUUACUAAAUCCAUACUUUAAUGUUACUUUAUAACCAUAUAAGCCUGUUUUGAGAUUAACAGCUCUGCUAAAGUGUUAAAUUUGUUAACGAUAAUAAUAACGAGACAAGACAGCACAGCCAUCAUUAAACGCUGACUGUGGUGAUAUCAACAUGCAAUAUUGUUGAUGAAAAAAGUGAACUAAAAUGUAGUGUACAAAAUAAAAAUUCAUUCUAGUUUCAUGCCUUUCACCUUUUUUCUCUCUCUCUCUUUCUCUUUCUCUUUCUCUUUCUCUUUCUCUCUCUCGCUCUCGCUCUCUCUUAAGCACACACACACUCACAUCGCUGGCGCCAGCUAUGUCCGUCUCUGUGUUCGGAUGUUCGGUCUGGUUCCGGUGUUUGAUUAAUGCAUAUUUUUGUGGAUUGGCUCUCAUAACAGGCAAGAGUAUUUAUUAUUGUUAUUAUUAUUGAGAGGACUCGGAGUAACUGCAAAACUGCAUUUUCAAUCAUUCAACCAGGGGUUAAAGUGGGUUGGAAACCAUCCGAGGAACUACCCUCGGGCACGUUCGAUUAAGAAGUAAAUGAAUCUAUUUAGCAGUUCCAUACAUUAGAGUUUUAUUCUGCACUGGUACAUGCCAUGAAUUCAUGAAUGUGGAUAGUUCACACGUCUGUAAUAACAGCAGAACAUUUAGAGCGCUUAGUUCACAUGUCUAAUAACAGCAGGACAGUUGAAUGUCUGUUAUCUAAACUACUACAUUCGGUUUUGAAGUGAGGAUAACGUUGGUUUUUCAUCAGAUAAUGAUAAGAUAUAUCAGAUAAAAUAAGUUUCACUAAAAUGACCAUAUUAUUAGUUUUGGCGAGACUAAAUUAACUGAAAUGUUCAAUAUAAUUAUUUAUUGGAAUGAAUGAUUUGGGGACUACUCACAAAUACAGCAGAUUUUGAUACUGGGAUGGACCCUAAAAGUAUACUUUGCUCACCGCACACCAGAAAACUGUUGGAGGAAAGACAACACUGGUCAACACUGGAAAACUGGUCUUUGUCUGCGUCAAGUGGGCAUUCUUUUUGCAUUUAGUUUGCUAGCAUGUUACAGUUUAGUCAUCCAGUAACAUGCUAACAGCAACAAGUGGACAUUUUUAUCUGUUGGUGGAAGAAGACAGGUCAGGAUCACCAAAACCACGUUGUUCUGGACCAUGUUGAUUGACAUCUUUGUAUGGAUACCGCUUUUAAUGGUAAAACCACACCUGAAUUUCACCUAACUUCAAUAGAUGGACAUAUUCUUAAAGCACAACAGUAUUUUAAAAUACUGUUUUUGCCAAAACUUCCUCCAGAGAGUCUUUCCAAAAAAUAAAAAUAAAAAAUCACACAAUUUUUUUAACUUCAGCUUCAUUCCCUGUGCUCAAACUACAUUUUUGUCCUACUUUGUGGUUUUAAUGUCACGGUGAUGAGAUUAAUUCCAAAAAGACCUUCUGGCACCAUUUAAAAUUAGAGUUUAUAUGAAUGCAUUUUUAAAGACAUGUUUUAAUAUUCAGGGCUGUAUUUACAGUAAAUGUUACUGAAUUUAGUCAUAAAAGAAUGUUACGCUUUUGUUUUCUGAAGUGCUGAAAUUCAGAAAGGAUGAUCGAACAAAUGUCUGACCUGUAAUGUGCCCCUUUCAUUUAUUAGCGUUAGCCCUUAUGUCACAAAACAAAUUUGGAAAUGUUGAGUUGGAAAACCUGCACUGUCAGUAGGAACUGAUAACAUAUAAUGUAAAAUUUGAAUCAAACUUAA